Molecule: non-coding RNA, 352 nt
Organism: Paramuricea clavata
Lineage: Eukaryota; Metazoa; Cnidaria; Anthozoa; Malacalcyonacea; Plexauridae
Source: the annotation of a GenBank genome assembly
GUUGGCUCAUGGGGUUUAGGUCGAUCCUAUCUAGUGCCUUCCACUCUUGGCGCAUAUAGUCCAUAUACAAAUAUACUAGAUUUGUGAUAAAAAAUAUAUGCCUUUUUACUAUGUUGCAGCUAACUGUACCAAUAAACCAUGUUUAAAAGAUGGAAUAAGUUUACACAAUAUUCCAUACUUCAAUAACGAACGCGCGGAAGCUAAAAGACGAAGAAAAGUAUGGGUUUGUUUGUGCCGUCAAAGCACAGAUCAAAGCUAGACUUCGACUAUAUGCUCGGAUCAUUUUUGACCAGAGGAUUACGAGAGGCGAUUCUUUUUGUGUCUUUCGUUGACGGGGCUCGGCAAGCCUAAC